GGCGUAGAGCGAGCGCAGGCGGUUAGAUAAGUCUGAAGUUAAAGGCUGUGGCUUAACCAUAGUNCGCUUUGGAAACUGUUUAACNUGAGUGCAGAAGGGGAGAGUGGAAUUCCAUGUGUAGCGGUGAAAUGCGUAGAUAUAUGGAGGAACACCGGUGGCGAAAGCGGCUCUNUGGUCUGUAACUGACGCUGAGGCUCGAAAGCGUGGGGAGCGAACAGGAUUAGAUACCCUGGUAGUCCACGCCGUAAACGAUGAGUGCUAGGUGUUAGGCCCUUUCCGGGGCUUAGUGCCGCAGCUAACGCAUUAAGCACUCCGCCUGGGGAGUACGACCGCAAGGUUGAAACUCAAAGGAAUUGACGGGGGCCCGCACAAGCGGUGGAGCAUGUGGUUUAAUUCGAAGCAACGCGAAGAACCUUACCAGGUCUUGACAUCCCGAUGCCCGCUCUAGAGAUAGAGUUUUACUUCGGUACAUCGGUGACAGGUGGUGCAUGGUUGUCGUCAGCUCGUGUCGUGAGAUGUUGGGUUAANUCCCGCAACGAGCGCAACCCUUAUUGUUAGUUGCCAUCAUUCAGUUGGGCACUCUAGCGAGACUGCCGGUAAUAAACCGGAGGAAGGUGGGGAUGACGUCAAAUCAUCAUGCCCCUUAUGACCUGGGCUACACACGUGCUACAAUGGCUGGUACAACGAGUCGCAAGUCGGUGACGGCAAGCUAAUCUCUUAAAGCCAGUCUCAGUUCGGAUUGUAGGCUGCAACUCGCCUACAUGAAGUCGGAAUCGCUAGUAAUCGCGGAUCAGCACGCCGCGGUGAAUACGUUCCCGGGCCUNGU
RNAcentral lists this ribosomal RNA (826 nucleotides) under uncultured bacterium. Its description in RNAcentral is "bacterial SSU rRNA". It matches the Rfam family "Bacterial small subunit ribosomal RNA", at positions 557 to 1384 of the family's 1533-position model. The record is from RNAcentral.